AACGCACAUUGCGCCCAUUAGUAUUCUAGUGGGCAUGCCUGUUCGAGCGUCAUUUCAACCCUCAAGCAGUUCUCUUGUAGGUGCUUGGUGUUGGAGCUUUCCACAGACAUUCGUGCUGUGGGCUCUGAAAAUGAGUGGCGGGCUCACUGUAGAUCCCGAGCGCAGUAAUUUUAUUCUCGCUUAGGGCGUCUCAGUGGAUUCCAGCCGUAAAAUUAUUCAAUUUUACAAAAGGUUGACCUCGGAUCAGGUAGGAAUACCCGCUGAACUUAA
This 270-nucleotide unclassified non-coding RNA is filed under the name uncultured Xylariales. Its description in RNAcentral is "sequence contains 5.8S rRNA gene, ITS2, 28S rRNA gene". Lineage: Eukaryota; Fungi; Ascomycota; Sordariomycetes; Xylariales. The record is from RNAcentral.